GAACCUGCGGAGGGAUCAUUGCUGGAACGCGCCUCGGCGCACCCAGAAACCCUUUGUGAACUUAUACCUUACUGUUGCCUCGGCGCAGGCCGGCCCCUCCACCGGGGCCCCUCGGAGACGAGGAGCAGCCCGCCGGCGGCCAACCAAACUCUUGUUUCUUAGUGAAUCUCUGAGUAAAAAACAUAAAUGAAUCAAAACUUUCAACAACGGAUCUCUUGGUUCUGGCAUCGAUGAAGAACGCAGCGAAAUGCGAUAAGUAAUGUGAAUUGCAGAAUUCAGUGAAUCAUCGAAUCUUUGAACGCACAUUGCGCCCUCUGGUAUUCCGGAGGGCAUGCCUGUUCGAGCGUCAUUUCAACCCUCAAGCCUGGCUUGGUGUUGGGGCACUGCUCCGAGAGGAGCAGGCCCUGAAAUCUAGUGGCGAGCUCGCCAGGACCCCGAGCGUAGUAGUUAUAUCUCGUUCUGGAAGGCCCUGGCGGUGCCCUGCCGUUAAACCCCCAACUUCUGAAAUUUUGACCUCGGAUCAGGUAGGAAUACCCGCUGAACUUAAGCAUAUCAAUAA
This 559-nucleotide ribosomal RNA is filed under the name fungal sp. E15203D. RNAcentral describes it as "eukaryotic LSU rRNA". The stretch from base 196 to 349 matches the Rfam family "5.8S ribosomal RNA". The record is from RNAcentral. Lineage: Eukaryota; Fungi.